AUGAAUUUUCACUAAAAAUAACGAUUAAAAUAAUCAAAUUAUUUAAAUGAUAUGUUCAUAUUAUAAAAAACAUGGUCAUGGGCAUUGGGUAAAUUCUCUUGCAUUAAGCACAGAGUACGUUCUUCGGACCAGUGAUGCAUUAGGGUUAUAAUUAGCAGAAUAGAUAUGUAUUUGUCUGAGUUUUAUCGCCGAUUUUGUAGUUUGAUGAUGAUAGCUUUUGUUGUAGUUCAGGUUGAUGAUCUAGGAAUUGUUUUCACCGAUCUGUAGUUACACAUUCUUUUACAAGGUAAGGGUUCUUACAAUUAUUGAUAUGCAAUUUUCUUUGUCUUCUGAUAUUAUCACCAGAAUAAGGUCUUCGUGUUUGAUUUUUUAGUUAUGUGAUUAUAAUUAUGUUAUGCUGUUCAACUAAAGAUUCAAGUGGGUCCAUGUUUGCUUUCGUCCUCUCAAUAUAGUGUUCUUCUUCGACCACCGAAAUCUCCUCUUAGUCACAUGUUGGUACACCAGGUACAUUUUUUCCCAAUUAUUGUUAGGUGAUGUGGCCGAUUAUUGUUAGGUGAUGUAGGAGCUGCAUAAGAACUUCUGAAUCUCUUUCUAUUAUGUCAUAAUGUAGUCAAGGUACAUUCAUCAAACUCCACUAAAUUUCCCCAUUCAAAGAAGAAUAUAAAAAAUUUGAUUAAACCACCGGCCCUUUGAUUGAAACAACACACACCCAAAAGUUAGUUAUUUUGCUUAACUUGGCCUACAUGAAGUGUGGUUUUACUCAUAUGACACACUUUCUCUUUGUAUCACUUUUUAUUUUCAAACUAAAAUAAAUAUUAACCAACAUUUUAUUUCAUAGAAAACCCCUAAUUCGGGUUCGGGUGGCUUUGAAUUCCAUGGAUGGAGUACAUUAUAUUCGUGAGGUGGACUUGAAAUUAUGUGAGAGCUAUUAACAACUAUCUAAUGCUUUGGCCACGAUGUUUAGUGCAUUCACCAUGGGUACAUCCGUCUUUUGUUUCUUAAUUAUUGAAUUUAUUGUUAAGGUGUUUUCUCAAGCCAAUGUAUUUUUGUGUAUGAUGCUUAUUUUUGUGGGAAGAGUGGGAAGUGGAGCUCUUCGUAACACCACUAUAAUGAUCCAUCAACCCUUCGAUGGGUUGGGGGCAAGGUAAAGAUACGACUGUUCACACUAAGCAAAUUGUUCGUCUUUGGUAUUCGCUAAAUGCAUUAUAUGUAAAAGCUAAAUGCAUUAUAUGUAAAAGCAUAUGGGACAAAACAUCGAUGUAAUUCAAAAUAAUAUGGAUCGAGAUUGUUAUAUAACCCCGGAAGAAGCUAUAAGGAGCUUGGGAUCAUAGAAAAAUUGGGCGGUGAAGGCUGCCAUGGAUGUAUUUCUCAAGGUGCGCAUAAGGAAUUUGGCAUGUGUUAAUAGCAUAAUGGUUUUCAGACGUGAGAAUUCAAGAAAUGACUAUAGGUAUCCUGUCAAAGGAUGGCCAGACUUCAUGUGUUCAAAUGGUAUGUCAGUCGGUCAGACUUGCACUUUUGUUUUCCUCCAAGAAGGAAAUGUACAUUGGUCCUUACCAAAGUCAAUUAGCAUUGCCUCCUUUUACUGCUAGAGAGACACUUUUUAAUCAAGAUUUUAGAUGCUACCUUUUUUAUUUUAGAUGCUACUUGUGUUACUUUUGAAUCGGAUAUUAGACGCUACUUUAGGGAUGGUUUUUGUUGGUUUAUAUGCUUGAUACCAAGUAGAAAUUAAAUGGAACAGACUUUAGUGGAAACCUGUGCUACUUUCGAAUAUAGAUCUAGUUUUUUAUAUGGUUAUUUGUACUCUGUAUAUUUGAAUUGCCAUACAUAAUUUCUUUUUAUAUGCAUAUUAAAAUA
RNAcentral lists this long non-coding RNA (1854 nucleotides) under Helianthus annuus (common sunflower). Lineage: Eukaryota; Viridiplantae; Streptophyta; Magnoliopsida; Asterales; Asteraceae. The record is from RNAcentral.